UACGGAGGGUGCGAGCGUUGUCCGGAAUCACUGGGCGUAAAGGGCGCGUAGGCGGCUGGGGAAGUCGGCGGUGAAAGCCCGGAGCCUCAACUCCGGGUCGGCCGUCGAGACUCCUCGGCUCGAGCUCACUAGAGGCAGAUGGAAUUCCUGGUGUAGCGGUGAAAUGCGCAGAUAUCAGGAGGAACACCGGUGGCGAAGGCGGGUCUCUGGCCCGGUACUGACGCUGAGGUGCGAAAGCGGGGGGGAGCAAACAGG
This 255-nucleotide ribosomal RNA is filed under the name uncultured bacterium. RNAcentral describes it as "partial 16S ribosomal RNA". It matches the Rfam family "Bacterial small subunit ribosomal RNA", at positions 524 to 776 of the family's 1533-position model. The record is from RNAcentral.